UCGAUUAUUAUUCAUCAUCUGAUAGAGUAUCGCGCAACAACUGAAUUCGGUUAAAAAUGAAUUUUCGUUAUAUUUCCAUUUUAAUUGUGGUGAUAUGGCUUUUAUGCCAAGGACCAAUUGUGGAAGCGUUUGUUGGUUUAAUUGCUGGCAUUGCUCGAGUGGCUGCGAGGGGCGCACGCAAUCAUGACCGAGCUGGGAAAGCAGGAAAGUAGGAAAAUAUAAUAAAGGGUCAUUGAAGGAAAUAUGCUGUAAAAUAGUUGCAAGUGUUAAAUAAAAAAUUUAAAAAAAAUUUUUAAAAAUAAUUCUUAAAAAAAGUUCAUAUCGACUCAACUUAAUCUAAAAAUAAAAAUAAAUAUUAAAAGGAA
Molecule: long non-coding RNA, 365 nt
Organism: Stomoxys calcitrans (stable fly)
Lineage: Eukaryota; Metazoa; Arthropoda; Insecta; Diptera; Muscidae
Exons: 2
Source: RefSeq, a predicted model, not a curated record